Molecule: ribosomal RNA, 254 nt
Filed under: uncultured bacterium
Lineage: Bacteria
Description: partial 16S ribosomal RNA
Rfam family: Bacterial small subunit ribosomal RNA
Source: RNAcentral
UACAGGGGGUGCAAACGUUGCUCGGAAUUAUUGGGCGUAAAGCGCGCGUAGGCGGCUACCUAAGUCGGAUGUGAAAGCCCCCUGGCUUAACUGGGGAAGUGCACCCGAAACUGAGUAGCUAGAGUGCGAAAGAGGGUCGCGGAAUUCCCGGUGUAGAGGUGAAAUUCGUAGAUAUGGGGAGGAACACCGGUGGCGAAGGCGGCCACCUGGACGGUAACUGACGCUGAGACGCGAAAGCGUGGGGAGCAAACAGG